CAGUCGAACGCGUCUCCGUUGAUGAUUUCAGGUGCUUGCACCUGACAGAUUUAACAUUGAGACGAGUGGCGAACUGGUGAGUAACACGUGGGUAACCUGCCCUUGAAGUAGGGGAUAACACUUGGAAACAGGUGCUAAUACCGUAUAACAACCAAAACCACCUGGUUUUGGUUUAAAAGACGGCUUCGGCUGUCACUUUAGGAUGGACCCGCGGCGUAUUAGCUUGUUGGUAAGGUAACGGCUUACCAAGGCGAUGAUACGUAGCCGACCUGAGAGGGUAAUCGGCCACAUUGGGACUGAGACACGGCCCAAACUCCUACGGGAGGCAGCAGUAGGGAAUCUUCCACAAUGGACGAAAGUCUGAUGGAGCAACGCCGCGUGAGUGAUGAAGGGUUUCGGCUCGUAAAACUCUGUUGUUGGAGAAGAACAGGUGUCAGAGUAACUGUUGACAUCUUGACGGUAUCCAACCAGAAAGCCACGGCUAACUACGUGCCAGCAGCCGCGGUAAUACGUAGGUGGCAAGCGUUGUCCGGAUUUAUUGGGCGUAAAGCGAGCGCAGGCGGUUUUUUAGGUCUGAUGUGAAAGCCUUCGGCUUAACCGGAGAAGUGCAUCAGAAACCGGGAGACUUGAGUGCAGAAGAGGACAGUGGAACUCCAUGUGUAGCGGUGAAAUGCGUAGAUAUAUGGAAGAACACCAGUGGCGAAGGCGGCUGUCUGGUCUGUAACUGACGCUGAGGCUCGAAAGCAUGGGUAGCGAACAGGAUUAGAUAUCCUGGUAGUCCAUGCCGUACACGAUGAGUGCUA
Molecule: ribosomal RNA, 803 nt
Filed under: uncultured bacterium
Lineage: Bacteria
Description: bacterial SSU rRNA
Rfam family: Bacterial small subunit ribosomal RNA
Source: RNAcentral